This is a long non-coding RNA of Drosophila gunungcola (fruit fly), 1152 nucleotides long. RefSeq lists it as uncharacterized. Lineage: Eukaryota; Metazoa; Arthropoda; Insecta; Diptera; Drosophilidae. The transcript is spliced from 3 exons. The record is from RefSeq and is a predicted model, not a curated record.
CCAACUCGAAUCGCAGCUCCAACUCCGGUUUCAAGCCUAUGUCCCCUGCAUCUGUAUCUGUAUCUCUGGGUGACAGUGUGUGUUGUAUCUUCGACUGCGUGGCAAUAAGUGUGCCCCGUUCCUGAGGCAGUGCAAAAAAAUCAAAAACAAAAAAAAAAUCAGAAAACAGCAUUAACCAUCUUGUUGUUGUUUUUUAAGGUUUCGGCUCUUGGUGAAUUAUUUAUGAGUGUAAAACCCUGAAACUCGCCCACAGUGCAUUGGCACCGAUUGCCAACGUCAGAGAUAACAACAGCAACUCCAAACAGCGACAGCACAAACAGCAGAGGAUCGCAUUUAAGGCGCAGCAUCGCAGCAUACAAGAAGCGAAUCCAUCCGCACUGUGGGACGCGGGGCGGCUGAGGUGAAGUGGAGUGGAAUGAGUUCGCAACUCCUUUUCAUCCUCAUGCCAUGUGCAAAUCACAUACAGUAGCAAAAAAUUUCGACAGUUAUUUACGAUUAGCACAAAAGAUACGAGACAUGACAUGCGCUGAACGGUGAUGGGGACUGGGGACUGGGCUUUGGAAAUGGUUAUGGGGUAUGGGGUAUGGAGCACGGGGAUCCGUGGAUGGGGGACUCAAACUGGGGACAGAUCGGACAGACCUGAACCUGGAACCCAACUUCAGACAGCUACAGCCCCGGCCUACGCUCCCCAUCUGCGCCGGCUACUGUUCCAGCGGAUUCGUGUUGACUCAGCGGGUGUCGUCGGGCCAAAGAUCUCCGCUCUUCAGAGGGCCUCAUCUGUACUAUUAUUUUUACCCCAGCUGUGGAUGCACACACACUCGUAGAUGGGAAAAAAGAACACACUUAUGCAUCCGGGACAAUGGCGAUGGGGCACAUUUGUUAGCCGGCUUGGCCUGCCUUUCUCCACCGCCAAGAGCUGACCUAUUAAAUGGGUAAACUACUUUGUGUAUCGCAACAUGACGAUCAGUCUCUUUUGUAUCUAUUCGCUGUUCUAAAAUGGGCCAUAAAACGUGAACUUCAAUGGUACAACUUUAUGCGCUGCGAUGCUGCGAUCAGCAGUUAUAGAGCUGAAAACUGCAGGGUCCUAUCUAUUAAUGGAUCGUAGUCGUGCAUCUGAAUUUGAUCACUUCUGAAGGCGAGCAGUGAUUUUUA